GAAGCCAUGCAUGCCCGCUCACCCGGGACGCGGCGGACGGCUCAGGACAACGGUUGCACCCCCCGCGGCGGUCCCUGCUAGCCGGACACCGCUGGCAACCCGGCGCCAAGACGUGCGCGCAAGGGCGGGCGCCCGCGGGC
This 140-nucleotide ribosomal RNA is filed under the name Giardia duodenalis. RNAcentral's name for it is "Giardia intestinalis partial 16S ribosomal RNA". The record is from RNAcentral. Lineage: Eukaryota; Fornicata; Diplomonadida; Hexamitidae.